Molecule: ribosomal RNA, 502 nt
Filed under: uncultured bacterium
Lineage: Bacteria
Description: bacterial SSU rRNA
Rfam family: Bacterial small subunit ribosomal RNA
Source: RNAcentral
AUGGCUCAGGAUGAACGCUGGCGGCGUGCUUAACACAUGCAAGUCGAACGGAGUAUGUUAACCGAGACCUUCGGGUCUCACCUGAUAUACUUAGUGGCGGACGGGUGAGUAACGCGUGAGCAACCAACCUUAUGCAGAGGGAUAACAAUUAGAAAAUGAUUGCUAAUACCUCAUAAGACCACGCUAUCGCAUGGUAAAAGUGGGAAAAAACUCCGGUGGCAUAAGACGGGCUCGCGUUCGAUUAGCUAGAUGGUGGGGUAACGGCCUACCAUGGCGACGAUCGAUAGCCGGACUGAGAGGUCGACCGGCCACAUUGGGACUGAGACACGGCCCAGACUCCUACGGGAGGCAGCAGCGGGGAAUAUUGCACAAUGGGGGAAACCCUGAUGCAGCGACGCCGCGUGAGUGAAGAAGUAUUUCGGUAUGUAAAGCUCUUUUAGCAGGGAAGAUGAUGACGGUACCUGCAAGAAAAAGCCCCGGCUAAAUACGUGCCAGCAGCCGC